RNAcentral lists this ribosomal RNA (776 nucleotides) under uncultured Neocallimastigales. RNAcentral describes it as "partial large subunit ribosomal RNA". It matches the Rfam family "Eukaryotic large subunit ribosomal RNA", at positions 20 to 612 of the family's 3401-position model. The record is from RNAcentral. Lineage: Eukaryota; Fungi; Neocallimastigomycota; Neocallimastigomycetes; Neocallimastigales.
UACUAGAGUAGCACUCGCAUAUCAAUAAGCGGAGGAAAAGAAACUAACAAGGAUUCCCUUAGUAACGGCGAGUGAAGCGGGAAGAGCUCAAAUUUGAAAUCUUCAAGGUUUUACCUUGACGAAUUGUAGUUUAAAGAAGUGGUUUUCUGUUGAAGUUUUGGUAAAAGUUCUUUGGAAUAGGACAUCAUAGAGGGUGAGAAUCCCGUAUUUGACCAUUAUUUUCAGCUGUGUGAUACACUUUCAAAGAGUCGGAUUGUUUGGGAAUGCAGUCCAAAAUGGGUGGUAAAUUUCAUCUAAAGCUAAAUAUUGGCGAGAGACCGAUAGCGAACAAGUACCGUGAGGGAAAGAUGAAAAGAACUUUGAAAAGAGAGUUAAACAGUACGUGAAAUUGUCAAAAGGGAAGCGUUUGACACCAGUGUUGUUUCGUCUGAAAAUCAAUUAAAAAAGGCCGGAUUUUGUGUUGUAUUGACCUUAAAAGCUUUCUUCACUCUUUUCUUGUCUUUUUUAAUGCACUUUUCGUUUAACAAGUCAACAUCAGUUUCUUUUGUUGUAAAAGGGUCAUUGGAAGGUGGCUUUCUUUUCGGAGAAAGUGUUUAUAGCCUUUGAUCUCUGCAACCGGAGAGACUGAGGUCUGCAGCGUAGACUCUUCGGGGUUAAAUACAUUUGUGCUAAGCUAUAGCUUUUUAUAGACAACUUGUUGACUAUAUUUAGUCUUGCGGCUUACUCGCUUAUGCUAUUUUACCUACGCUUAGGAUGUUGAUAGUCACAGCUUGUAC